Molecule: long non-coding RNA, 854 nt
Filed under: Mustela putorius furo (domestic ferret)
Lineage: Eukaryota; Metazoa; Chordata; Mammalia; Carnivora; Mustelidae
Description: lncRNA (ENSMPUG00000024750.1)
Source: RNAcentral
CGGUUCAUCAGUCCAAAUUGAGCUGGAGGCACCUUUGACAUCCCCCUCUCUCUGCCUGCAGGUCAGCUGUCUCCAGUCCUGAGGUCAUCACUCAUCAAGAGGGGAUAAUCCCAAGGACAGCAGGACCUGCUUCGUCACUUGGAUUUAGGAGUGACAAACCCAUCAGGCAACUAAACAGUAACAAUGACCCACCAUUAAACACACUGAGAGAAGAGCAUGAUGAGGAGAUUGUAGAGAAGAAUCCUGGAGCUCUUGCUGACAACACCAAUGGAGACGCUGACCACUAUGGGGCAACUUAGAUCUGCAUCCCCAAGAGGCCCGAGUUGCUUUAACCCUUAUGGACUGAGGUGGCUGCAGUUCCAGUUCCAGUUAUCAGGUAUGGAGUUUUCACCAAAAGAUGGCUUGAAUCCCUGGGUCCUAGAUAAUAUUCUUUUCUGUCCUAUUACCUGCAUUGUGUAGUAGGAAACCUAGUUUCUCCUAGUAAUUGGGUCAAUUUUCCUUAAUAAGAUUUCACAAGUGGAUCAUUGAGAAUGAUAGUGAAAAGAACCAAUCUGAUUUCUACCCAUUGAUUCUUGGAUCUAUAUAUUCUAGCUAUAGAGGAUCUACACUGUUGGUUCUUUAUAUACUGCAUGCUGGAGGUUGCAGUCUAACCUUAUAUGGUAUUAUGCUAAAGCUAGCACCUUAAAUGCAGCUUUAAUAGGCCCUUCCAUUAUUCUACUGCUGGCUGUCUCUGGAUGAUCAAGUACAGUGCAAGACCAAUCAGUCUCAUAGACAUGUGCCCAUUAUCAUAUUCUCUUUUACUAUCAGAUAGGUCCCUUAGUCUGAGGCAAUGUUGGUGGGAUCCCAUACUGGCA